RNAcentral lists this small RNA (28 nucleotides) under Bombyx mori (domestic silkworm). Its description in RNAcentral is "piRNA piR-bmo-1595992". Lineage: Eukaryota; Metazoa; Arthropoda; Insecta; Lepidoptera; Bombycidae. The record is from RNAcentral.
UCUCAAACCGACUGGCGCGGGGCGCUGA